Molecule: long non-coding RNA, 549 nt
Organism: Armigeres subalbatus
Lineage: Eukaryota; Metazoa; Arthropoda; Insecta; Diptera; Culicidae
Exons: 3
Source: RefSeq, a predicted model, not a curated record
UUCACACUUCCCGCUCCCGGUUUGUAAGUUGUUUUAGCCGUCGCGAAUCGUAUUAAUUUGCUAAACAUAAAUUUAAAACCCUCAAACAUCUCGAGCUAAAGUUUCCAUUGAUGGAAUGGAAACUAUACAGCAGUACCGCUACCGGUGAAAGCUUCAUUUAGGACAGGUCGGUUACCCAUGAAGAGCAGAACAUCGCACCCUUUGUUGUUUUCAUAUACCAGAACCACCAAACAGUUUUCGAAAACGAGAAUAAAUCGGUCGAAGAAUGAUUGACCGCCACAGUAAUCAACAACCUGAAGAGUGCCUGAAUCAAAACCAGCCUACAGAGGUCCAGAAGUGCAUAUAAGCUUUCAUGGCCAGAAUAUGGCCGAUCGCGACACCGCGACACGAGCCGUCGCAAAUCUAUACUGGUGAACUGUUUCAAAGAUGUCAAACACGGAGAAACUGGAUACCUCUCGGACUUGAAAGAUAAGUUGUUUUUUCUGACCUUGUCGGGGCAUGGCGCUAUGUUCAUCGAUACCUGCAAGGCGUCCCCGAAAAGCCUUGAGG